CUAAUAGCACUGAAGGUGGCAGUUCAUACUGUGUGGGACAGAAGGUGAUGCACACGAUACACCCAUCUGAAGAGUUGAGCUCAUCUGCUUGUCAAGUGUCGUACUCUAGGCCUAAACAGCUGCUACUUUGACAAAGUUUCCUGGGACUUCAUAAGGUGUGAUCAGUGACGCUGUUACGAGAAAAAUUGUGGCGUCGAAAUAUCACCUGAAGGGAAACAUCAGGAACCUCAUCAGAAUACCACAAAUAAACUUUUAUGUCAUUAAUGUCAUUUACCACAGUUAACACCACUUUCUAUUCCCUGUGUUGUAGUUUUUGUAUAUUUACAUGAUAAUAAAGUUGUGUGUAUUGUA
This is a long non-coding RNA of Rana temporaria (common frog), 351 nucleotides long. RefSeq lists it as uncharacterized. The transcript has 2 exons. The record is from RefSeq and is a predicted model, not a curated record. NCBI's taxonomy places the organism in Eukaryota, Metazoa, Chordata, Amphibia, Anura, Ranidae.